GUCGCCAUUCGUGUUUCGAGCCAUUCCCCUCAUCUCCGCUCGAAUUUCCUCCAACAUCGCUUCCAUGGAAACGAAUCUGCCCUCAGUGCACUCAUCCUAUUCUCCAUCUUGUCUCUCCUUGGAUUUUGAUCCGGCAGGUCGGACCAAUCUGUUAGGUUACUUUAUAAUGAUAACCUAAUCUAUUCUCUCUUCUUAUCUCAACACUCAAUUAACAGAGUGAAUGUAUGAUUAACAGAGAUGAAUGUAUGAAUAUAUAUUUUAUUAACU
This 267-nucleotide long non-coding RNA is filed under the name Vigna radiata. RNAcentral describes it as "long non-coding RNA (VRAD_LNC003852)". The record is from RNAcentral. Lineage: Eukaryota; Viridiplantae; Streptophyta; Magnoliopsida; Fabales; Fabaceae.